UUUUCUGUAGCUUAAGUUGUAAAGCCUCAGCUUGAAGAGCUGGUUAUAUGAAUGUCGGCGGGGU
This 64-nucleotide transfer RNA is filed under the name Breviscolex orientalis. RNAcentral's name for it is "tRNA-Phe". The record is from RNAcentral. Lineage: Eukaryota; Metazoa; Platyhelminthes; Cestoda; Caryophyllidea; Capingentidae.